Molecule: small nucleolar RNA, 100 nt
Filed under: Erinaceus europaeus (western European hedgehog)
Lineage: Eukaryota; Metazoa; Chordata; Mammalia; Eulipotyphla; Erinaceidae
Description: Small nucleolar RNA SNORD116
Rfam family: Small nucleolar RNA SNORD116
About the family: HBII-85 is a member of the C/D class of snoRNAs, which contain the C (UGAUGA) and D (CUGA) box motifs. HBII-85 is encoded in a tandemly repeated array with another C/D snoRNA, HBII-52, in the Prader-Willi syndrome (PWS) region of chromosome 15.
Source: Rfam by way of RNAcentral
GGAUCGAUGAUGACUCCCUACGCACACCAGCAUUCCUUAGGAAAGCAGAAAGGUGAACAAAAUGAGUGAGAACUCCCUCCAUCAGAAAAAAAGGGGAGUC